AUCAUAACUAUCAUUAUUGUGUAGAGUUACUAAAUAAAAAUAACAGUUGUCUGUAUCACUGUAGUAAUACAAGAGCCUGAUAUACCUCAGAUGGGAGAGGAGAGGGGAUGUGGCCACCCGGGAAGCACUUUUUAGCAUGCUGUGUGUCAUUUGAGAGGAAUCUGUAGUAAACAUGGUUUCAUCCAGCUCUGAGGACUAUUCCAGCCUCAUCUGGAAGCUGGCUGAUUAAGAAGCUUGAAUCAGCACUCCGUCAAAAGAGGUUAUGCCUUUUUCUGUACCUGUGGCCCCCAGAAAGAGCAUCCAGCAUACUCGCAUUCAUGUUGCUACAGGCAAUGGUGCUACACCAGAGAUAACCGAAUGUUGGGGGAAGAAGGCUAUUUCAGACAAGCCUCCAUCUGCAGGAGGGAAGGGAAUGUGACACCUCUGUAGGAUUUUUGUUUUAAGAAAAAUGGAGCAGCAUCUGAAGAUUUUCCUUUUUAAAAUUCAUUUCCUCCUAAUAUUACAGAAUUACAGGUAGCAAAUGAAUUACCUGGACAGCUGAAAUAGGGACUAAAGAG
This 557-nucleotide long non-coding RNA is filed under the name Dromaius novaehollandiae (emu). RNAcentral's name for it is "lncRNA (ENSDNVG00000016602.1)". The record is from RNAcentral. Lineage: Eukaryota; Metazoa; Chordata; Aves; Casuariiformes; Dromaiidae.